GAUGAACGCUGGCGGCGUGCCUAAUACAUGCAAGUCGAGCGAACGGACGAGAAGCUUGCUUCUCUUAUGUUAGCGGCGGACGGGUGAGUAACACGUGGAUAACCUACCUAUAAGACUGGGAUAACUUCGGGAAACCGGAGCUAAUACCGGAUAAUAUUUUGAACCGCAUGGUUCAAAAGUGAAAGACGGUCUUGCUUUCACUUAUAGAUGGAUCCGCGCUGCAUUAGCUAGUUGGUAAGGUAACGGCUUACCAAGGCAACGAUGCAUAGCCGACCUGAGAGGGUGAUCGGCCACACUGGAACUGAGACACGGUCCAGACUCCUACGGGAGGCAGCAGUAGGGAAUCUUGCGCAAUGGGCGAAAGCCUGACGGAGCAACGCCGCGUGAGUGAUGAAGGUCUUCGGAUCGUAAAACUCUGUUAUUAGGGAAGAACAUAUGUGUAAGUAACUGUGCACAUCUUGACGGUACCUAAUCAGAAAGCCACGGCUAACUACGUG
Molecule: ribosomal RNA, 497 nt
Filed under: uncultured bacterium
Lineage: Bacteria
Description: partial 16S ribosomal RNA
Rfam family: Bacterial small subunit ribosomal RNA
Source: RNAcentral